This 538-nucleotide ribosomal RNA is filed under the name uncultured microorganism. Its description in RNAcentral is "bacterial SSU rRNA". It matches the Rfam family "Bacterial small subunit ribosomal RNA", at positions 379 to 917 of the family's 1533-position model. The record is from RNAcentral.
UAAGAUGAUCAGCCAUGCCGCGUGCAGGAUGAAGGUCUUAUGGAUUGUAAACUGCUUUUGUAAGGGGAGAAUAAGAGCUACGUGUAGUUUGAUGACGGUACCUUAUGAAUAAGCAUCGGCUAACUCCGUGCCAGCAGCCGCGGUAAUACGGAGGAUGCGAGCGUUAUCCGGAAUCAUUGGGUUUAAAGGGUCUGUAGGCGGGCUUGUAAGUCAGAGGUGAAAGCGCUCAGCUCAACUGAGCAACUGCCUUUGAAACUGUUGGUCUUGAAUGAUUGUGAAGUAGUUGGAAUGUGUAGUGUAGCGGUGAAAUGCUUAGAUAUUACACAGAACACCGAUAGCGAAGGCAUAUUACUAACAAUUGAUUGACGCUGAUGGACGAAAGCGUGGGGAGCGAACAGGAUUAGAUACCCUGGUAGUCCACGCUGUAAACGAUGGAUACUAGCUGUUUGGUUUAAGGAUUGAGUGGCUAAGCGAAAGUGAUAAGUAUCCCACCUGGGGAGUACGUUCGCAAGAAUGAAACUCAAAUGAAAUUGACGGA